Molecule: ribosomal RNA, 301 nt
Filed under: uncultured bacterium
Lineage: Bacteria
Description: partial 16S ribosomal RNA
Rfam family: Bacterial small subunit ribosomal RNA
Source: RNAcentral
CAGUAGCCGCGGUAAGACAGAGGAUGCAAGCGUUAUCCGGAAUGAUUGGGCGUAAAGCGUCUGUAGGUGGCUUUUCAAGUCCGCCGUCAAAUCCCAGGGCUUAACCUGGGAACUGCGCUUGUGACUGCACAGCUAGAGUAUGGCAGAGGGGGGUGGAAUUCCACGUGUAGCAGUGAAAUGCGUAGAGAUGUGGAGGAACACCGAUGGCGAAGGCAGCCCCCUGGGCCAAUACUGACGUUCAUGCACGAAAGCGUGGGGAGCAAACAGGAUUAGAUACCCCCGUAGUCCCUGUCUCUUAUAC